AAACUUUCAACAACGGAUCUCUUGGUUCUGGCAUCGAUGAAGAACGCAGCGAAAUGCGAUAAGUAAUGUGAAUUGCAGACUUCAGUGAAUCAUCGAAUCUUUGAACGCACAUUGCGCCCGCCAGUAUUCUGGCGGGCAUGCCUGUUCGAGCGUCAUUU
RNAcentral lists this ribosomal RNA (158 nucleotides) under Podospora petrogale. RNAcentral's name for it is "5.8S ribosomal RNA". It matches the Rfam family "5.8S ribosomal RNA". From Rfam's summary of the family: 5.8S ribosomal RNA (5.8S rRNA) is a component of the large subunit of the eukaryotic ribosome. Lineage: Eukaryota; Fungi; Ascomycota; Sordariomycetes; Sordariales; Podosporaceae. The record is from RNAcentral.